GCCCUCUCUGGGUGGCACCUGGAGAGUUUCUAGUACUCUACCAGUCUCGGCCUCAGGAGGGAGAGUCAAGCAGGGGCCUACCCAUUCCACUCCUAGGUUGGCCGGUGGCUAGCGAGUGGAACACAAUCUGCUACAAGU
This is a small nucleolar RNA of Tachyglossus aculeatus (Australian echidna), 138 nucleotides long. NCBI's taxonomy places the organism in Eukaryota, Metazoa, Chordata, Mammalia, Monotremata, Tachyglossidae. The record is from RefSeq and is a predicted model, not a curated record.